UACAGAGGGCGCGAGCGUUGUCCGGAAUCACUGGGCGUAAAGGGCGCGUAGGUGGCGGCAUAAGGCUGUGGUGAAAGUCCGGGGCUCAACUCCGGAUCGGCCGUGGCAACUGUGUCGCUAGGGCACCGUAGAGGCAGAUGGAAUUCCGGGUGUAGCGGUGGAAUGCGUAGAGAUCCGGAAGAACACCAGUGGCGAAGGCGGCUAACUGGUCCAGUACUGACGCUGAGGUGCGAAAGCGUGGGGAGCAAACAGG
RNAcentral lists this ribosomal RNA (253 nucleotides) under uncultured bacterium. RNAcentral describes it as "partial 16S ribosomal RNA". It matches the Rfam family "Bacterial small subunit ribosomal RNA", at positions 524 to 776 of the family's 1533-position model. The record is from RNAcentral.